RNAcentral lists this ribosomal RNA (245 nucleotides) under uncultured archaeon. Its description in RNAcentral is "partial 16S ribosomal RNA". It matches the Rfam family "Archaeal small subunit ribosomal RNA", at positions 474 to 718 of the family's 1478-position model. The record is from RNAcentral.
CACAGCUGCUCCGAGUGGUGCCCACGAAUAUUGGGUUUAAAACGUAUGUAGCCGGAUUGGCCAGUUCCCCGUGAAAUCCAACGACUCAAUCGUUGGGCGCGCGGGGAAUACUACCAGUCUUGGGAAUGGGGGAGGCCAAGGGUACUGUAGGGGGAGGGGUAAAAUCCUUUAAUCCUUGCAGGACCAUCGGUGGCGAAAGCGCUUGGCCAAAACAUGUCCGACGGUGAGAUACGAAGGCUAGGGGA